RNAcentral lists this unclassified non-coding RNA (361 nucleotides) under uncultured fungus. Its description in RNAcentral is "partial contains 5.8S ribosomal RNA and internal transcribed spacer 2". The stretch from base 1 to 134 matches the Rfam family "5.8S ribosomal RNA", at positions 22 to 154 of the family's 154-position model. Lineage: Eukaryota; Fungi. The record is from RNAcentral.
UGGUUCUGGCAUCGAUGAAGAACGCAGCGAAAUGCGAUAAGUAAUGCGAAUUGCAGAAUUUCCGUGAGUCAUCGAAUCUUUGAACGCACAUUGCGCCCUUUGGCAUUCCGAAGGGCAUACCUGUUCGAGCGUCAUUAUCCUUCUCUCACCCCCCCCCCUUUUGUUAGGGACCCGGGCGUGGCGUUGGAACACAGUCGGUGGACAAACCAACUGGUUCUCAAAAGUAAUGACGGCGUCCGUGGGACCCUCGAUACAACGAGUUCUUUCGGGAGCACGCAUCGAGUUGCAAGGACCUUCCGGGCCGGUCAAACCCCCCCAUUUUUCUCAGGUUGACCUCGGAUCAGGUAGGAAUACCCGCUGA